ACCAAAAUUAUGUUUUGUGAGUUCCUGCUUGAGUUUCUGCACAGUGAACUUAGUAUAAUCUUCCUGAUCAGUUUGGUGACUCUGGUUAUCCUCAUCACCCUUGAAAACUGAACCACCAUCUUCUAGCUCUGUGCGCUUUAAAGGGCUUCUUGUGCUCCUGGACUUCUUAUUCGGUCUUAAACUAGUAUCAUUUGUGCCCAUGUCUCGAACAGAACCUACACCCAUCUCGAUAUCAUCAGUUCUAAUGCGUUUG
RNAcentral lists this unclassified non-coding RNA (253 nucleotides) under Hevea brasiliensis (rubber tree). Lineage: Eukaryota; Viridiplantae; Streptophyta; Magnoliopsida; Malpighiales; Euphorbiaceae. The record is from RNAcentral.